UGGACCGUGGGUAGCCCGCCUAGAGGCCCAUAUAAAGGAAGGCGAAACGGGUGCAAGUCGGAGAGAAAAGCGAAGGGCAGAGUCCCUGACCUUUGCCUUCCCCCCCCUCCACCACCACCAUCGCCCUGCUACGAGACACUCUGAGGCCUCCGGGAGCUGAUACUGCCCGCCUGAGGAGAACCCCCCUGGUCCUGCACCCCGGACCGGAGUCACGGGUGAGUUGUAGAUCCCCUACCCGUGCUGAGAGCACCGUGAGUGGGCCAAGGCUCGGCUGCAGCGAGCGGGCACCGCGCCUGACACUCGGAGGACGGGCGGCCGCAUUGCAGCCAAAGUGCUCCCGAGAUCGGAGAAGGCAGAUCAGACGCUUCAAACGGCUUCGCUCCCCCCACCCCAUCUCGGCGGCACUAAAGUUCCAGGGCCCUAUUUUCAGAAGCCAGCAGGACUGGAUUUAUUAGACCCUGCUGCACACAGAAUGUCCUGAGUUGGAUUCCCUUUGGAUGAAGAUUCACUGGGAGGUAACUCUUGUGGCCACAUCAGUGUAUGCACAGGGUUUUUUUUCAUGAGCUGAAAAAGUGGGCAGCCUUUUUAUAUUAUUGUACUGAGAGAAGGAUCAAAAAGAAAGCAGUAGAUAAAUUUCAGAAGCAGUCACCAACCCAGCUGAACUGUCACUUCAGCUCUGUACUUCAGGGGAGGGCUGCAAACAUGAGGUGGUUGCCAGUCUGAGUGGAAGAGGAGCCAGUGGGAAUUGGAGUGUCAGCACUCACAGGAUCAUCCUGCAUUUGCUUCCCCUCAUGGCCAGUAAAGUACUGUGUGAGUACCAUAAACUCUUUCCUUGCAAGUUUCUGGUUUUGGAAGGAAGCUUUGAGCCUUUUGAACCAGGAGAGAUGUGGGUGUUCAAAUACAAUAUCUGAAGAGAUUCAGCAUAUGCUGUCUGUUCCUUUAGGAAAAUCUCCUACCUCAGCAGUGUCUGUUAAUGUGCUUGUUGGAGUUGGAUUUGUUCCUGGUGAGACUGAGUUCACCCCAGUCCAAAUCUGGGUUCUCCUUCUGCCAGAUCAAACAGGAUCAAAUUUUUGAUUCUUUACAGCUGAAGUGAACGACAUCUUCCAUUGUGAUGUUUGGAUGCCAGAGGACAGUGUCAGCACAAGAACACGACCGACCUUUUAUUCCUUUGCUAGGUGUGGGAUGUGGAAAUGUCUAUUUCAGUAAGAUUAUUUUAUUGAGGACCUUGUCAGAUGGGAUAAUAAGGAAAAACAGGAAUACUUUUAGUUGUUUUUGCUGAGCAAUACUAUAACAUCUGAAAUUAGACUUGAAAAACAUUAGACUGUAGGCCACGUGGAAGAAAACUGAUUGAAAUCAGCUCACAGGAGGAGAGGUUUCAUUCCAUAUGUGUUCAUUCCAACACGACGAUGUGAUUCAGCAGGUGACUAGAGCUGUAUGGAAGAUAAGAGUAGGUAGUCAGAAAUAUGAAGGAAUCCAGAAAAAAACCAGCAACUGAAGCAAAACUGAACAUAAAAGGGGGUGGGGAUGUUGAGGAGACAGAGAAAAAAGGGGUAUUUGAGAGUCUGAAUUAUUAAUAAUAAAAAUGUUAUGAUUCUAAGACUUCAGUGCUUUAUUAAAUUUAACAGAUGAACAUUAGGGAAAAGGCUAAGCCUUCAGGAAUCAGGAGGAACUUGCGUAGCAGAGAAUUUCACAACUUCUUUAUCACAGACUGGAUAAGAAGGAUUAUCUUUGCUGCAAUAAGUUUAUUUUUCAUUUCUGACUCCUAAAUUUCUUAAAGGAAAAUCAGAAUAAAAACAAUUCUGGAACAACUGUUGCCAGCCUGAAUAAGACUUACUGGAUAAGCAAAGUAGAUGUUGUUUAGUCACCAUGUAGUAAAAGGAACCUUCCUCUUACCAGCUAUGCAAAAGAUUUUCUCUGUGCCAGGUGAACUGGACUCAUUAACAGGCAGAAAAAAUAUAAGACUUCUGAAAAUGCUUAAUUGAAAGUGCAAUAGUAGACUUUAGUUUACCUAUUUUUCCAGAAAGCUUUAUGUAUGCAUAUUAUGUGUUAAGAAGACAAAACAAGAAAAUACACUAGAAAAGAUACAUUUGCAUUUUAACUCCCUAAAGGCACUAAUUUAGACCACAGUAGGGUGGUUUCGUACCUGAUUUAGUCAUGGAACUAGUUUACUCUGCUGUUGACUACAUGAUGCUGUAAUUACUCUUCACCUCACUUCUCUUUGAUCUACAUAAGAUAUGUGCAUUGUUUAUGAACUAUUUUUCUAACAUAUGGUUAUAAUUAUUUUCUGUAUUUAAGUCAGUGUAUUUUUUAUCAUUAAUAAAAUUGAGAAAUAUAUUGAUGACCGAAGCCUCUAAAAACGUGCUAGAAUUAAGGGUCUUAUUUCAUGGAUGAAUAAUGAAGAAUUAUCUAUUGUGGUCAUGAUUCCAAAUUUAAUCAUUGUCUAUACCUGAAAUACGGUAUUAACAGGACAAUUAAUGCAAGUACUCAAUUUCAUCACAUACUAGAAAAGUCACCAUAAACUUAUUUCAAAUUCUUAGAGUCUCUGAGUUUUUCUACCUUAGAUAACGGAUCUGGUCAGCUUAGAUGUUUUCCUACUAAUUUUUCUUAGAUGUUUUCCUAUUAAUUUUGGUAUAACUCCACUCCCUGAGAUGCUUUCCAGAUAAAGAAUCCUAGCUGAAAGUCAUCAGAGACUUGGGCCUGACUUUUACCCAGGAAGGCAUUGUUCUGUGAAAGCAGAUGAUCAUUGUCAUUUGUACUCAUCCCCUGCUACCUUUUCUAAAGAAACUAUGAAAGCAUCAGGAUCAGACUCUCACUUGGUAAUGCCAGACAAAGUGCUUUUCUGGUUUCAGUCUAAUUAACCAAUCACUGAAUUUCAGAGAAUGGGAAGAAUCUCCUGAUGAACAGAAAUUAUGAAGGACUGCAGCAUCCCUUUCCCACUGCCAGUCUACAUAAGGUAGUGAAAAAACUGCAGAUAUCUGUACCUGUGUGAGGCCAGAUGUAAGGUUUUUAUAUUAUGCAAUCCAUCCACGAAAACUGGUGGGCUUCCAUUUGGUGAACUCCUUGAUGGUCAAGAUUUCUUCUUCUAUGUUGCCUUUAACUCUUCUGCUGUUUGUCAUUCAGCUACACUGUAAAAUAAUGAGACAAUAUUAUAGGUGAGCAAUACGAAAAAAGCAAAAUGAUCCAAAUUCAUGAAAUUCCCUUUAUAUUGGCAAAGAUCUGAGGAUGCAGAUAGCAAGAAAGAGUGAUCACCAGAGAUGAGAAAUGGUUGAGGCGUUCCUUCAAAUAAGAUAGAAAAUGUCUCUAACUAUGUAAGGUCUCCUUCUCAGGAGUCUGGCAAAGGAUGAUAAAAGAAAUUUCCAGCAAAGACAGUGGACUUUGUCAUAUUUGAUUGUAAAAAUGUAGGACGACUUGCAUUAUUACUUCACUAUCCCUGAAAAUUAGUUUUUUUACUUGGCUGUGUAAAGUCAUUUUGGUAGAAGAUGAGGUUGCUGCUUCAGUGCUCAAGCUGUGGUCCAUAAGAAGAGAAAGAGAUGUACAAUGAUGUUACACAGAAGAAAAACAGUGCUUGACAUUAUUUUUCUAUUUGUAGCUGAAGCAUAUUCUAGUACAUAGUAAAUGAUUGUCUUAGAUGUAAUUCAUAAUAUUGUCAUUGAUUCUAACUUUUACCUGUUUAUUGUUAUUUCUCAACUUCAUUUAUACUGUUGCUAUUACUGUUUUCUUUCUCACAUGCUGUAUCUUUUGAUAAAUGAGAGGACAGGCUUCUUGGGGCACUAGCCAUAUUUUUCUGAAUGCUCUCUGUGAUGAAGUAAGUCCUGCUUUGGUCUCAAUCAAAUAUUGCUCACACUCUAAAGAGAAAAAAAGUGGCUUCAAAAUGAAUUGUGACCCCUGAAAGAGCUGGAAGUAAAGGUCUCAUCCUGCAUUUGUUGCAGAUGUUUCACUGUCUAUUUAUUUUGUGUCUAAAAAUGGUGUAUGGGGGAACUCAUUUCAGUCAAAAUAAAAGGAAUUUAAUGUCUUCCAUUCUGUUUGUAAUGAGGCAUCCAAAGGCUUAAAAUCUCACCAUUUGAAUCAAGUUAGCUAUUCCUUAUUUAUUUACCUCUACCAUCAUUAAUACCAAUAUCUGAUUUUAUACUCUUUAAACAAAUGAGAAAAGCCUCCCUGGUUUAGACCUAAUACAUGCCCCCAGUGCAAAAUGUACUUGUCUGUCCUCCUGCUUUUUUCCUUCGCUGGAAACACCAGAUUGUAUUUACUCAGCUGAGUCUCUUAUGCCAAUAAACAGCAGUCAUGCUGACACCGCACCACAGGUCACCAGGGAUCCAGUUUCUUGAAUGUAUUUAAAUAUUCUGUUGCCUGAUCAAAAUACUGAUGUUGUCAAAAUUGAAAUAUGGAUGUGCAUGUUCUGCAGCUCUUGGUUAUCAUGGGAUGUUUCACAUGAAAUGAAAAGCAGAGCAGAGUUAGUCAUGUGAGAAUCUCUCCUGCUUUCUCUCUAUGCCUCACUGCUUCUUGUCUCCAUCUAUGAAAGCUAUACAUAGCCUUUGAACACCCAGAGAAGUGUGCUCAAAUAAUAAAAGAUAAACUCUAAAAUUAAUAUAUGGAAACAAUCAGCAAGUAUGAAAACUUAAUUUCAUUAAGCGUAGAUUUAGAUAUGAUAUGUUGGAUUUUUAAAAAAUUUUUACAUAUAGACAAAUACCGAUUUUUUUUUUUUUUUUUUUUUAAUAGAGGAAGUAUAAAAGGCAUUAAAAUUAGGCAUCUAUUAGAAUGCUGUAAGGCACAGUAUAAAAAAAAUCUACAUGUCAUUACAAAAAAAAAUCCACUCAACGCUUAUCUUUACUUAAUUUGUCUAUAAUGCCAAACAUGCUAGAGAACUGAGUAGAUGAGAAAUUGUCAAGGCUUGAGGUUAUAGAAAAAAUAGGGGGCAUGAAAAUUUAGGAAAUACUUUUGGCAGGAGAUGUAGAAUGAUUUUUAAAAGAAGGAAAAGAUAGUUCUACUAAAAAAAAGGAAAAGAGGGGAUCUACUCAAAGGUUGUAUUUGACCAAUAAUUUAAAAUUGUUUGGUUUGUUUGCAUGUUGUAAUGCUAUUUAUAUGCAAUUCAGGAUCUGCAAGAAGAGGACUUUGAGAUAAAGAGCUAAGUUUCACUUUGAAAAUAAUGAAAGCGAAUACUCAAAAAUGUGUUUGAAAGUGUAAAAUGGAUACUUGAUAUUUCAUAUUUUCCAUGUCCCUUUUUAAACUGUGACAUCCUGUAUCUGUGACAUGACAUACACCAGUUGAAGCUUAUCCAGGAGUUUCCAUACUUUAAUUUUAGAUACCAAGAAAUGAAUUAAUUUUUUCCUCUACUUCAUGAGUUGAAUGAAAUUAAAAACCAGUUAUGCAGCUUCUGAAAUUAGUAGGGGUAGACACACUUGCUUUCACACAGAGAGUCAUAAUGAAAAGCAAAGAAAUUUCAUAUUGUGAAUGAGAUUCAACCUGUUACAUUUAAUUGAAAUAUAUUUCAAUGGCAUAGCUAGCAAAAUUUUCAAACAGUGCCAGUUCAGUUUCAUACUAUUGACUAUUUAUAGCCAUCAUCACAAAUUAAUUUAAUAUUUUCUGACAAAUAAUGAUGGAUAAAGUUUUACAUAUACUUUAGAAGAAAUAUAUAAUUUUUAAGUAAAUGUGGAGGAUUUAAUGUGAAAUACUAAAUAUCAGGGCUAAAUAAAAUGGUAUGGUUUUGCUUGAUUACACUGUAAAGCUCAGUGGUUUGUUGGUAUUGUAUCCUUUCGUUUUUCAUGUUUGGGUUUUUUUUUUAAUUUUCAAUUUAUUGGCCUAAUAGCUUCCCUUAGUACCUAGCAGAGUCUGUACAAAGUUCUAGAGCAUAAACUGAACAUCAUUAUUUUCUCCUCAUGUAUCAUACCAAAUAUUACAUUUCACACUCCUAUUUCUCCAUAUGCAGCCCAUGGUAAUGAAGUCUGAUCCUGACAAGCUAUUUCCUGUGAAUUCCUUUGUUUUUCAAAAGCAGAGGUUAUAGAUUACCUGUUAAUAAGUAGAAACCUCUGUGAUAAAUGUUAUUAAAUACUAUGAAAUAUAAAAUCAAGAAGGGUGAGGCUGAAGAAAAUACUCCAAAGAGGUAUCUUACUGUGAUUCGAAUGUGGUAUGAAGGAAACUCCUGAUAACAAAGUGCAGCUAUGUCAGCUUUAUAGAUUUUUAUGUUAAGAUCUUCUUUGCUUAUUUUAUGUACUUAAUUUUCUUUGUGUUUUCUGAGUUCCAGAGAUGAGCCUAUAGAAUGCUCUUUUAUUCACAUUAUCCAAAAAUAUUAUAGGAGCAAAUGUGAUCAAAUUGCCAGUACUAGAAAUUCACAUCAUACAUGUACGAAAUUUGAUUAUGUGACUCCACCACAUCUUUCUGUUUGUCACUGACUCGCCUUUUAUCCAAUAACUAUCUAAAAUACCUUGCCUAUAAGGAAGCUUAUAAAGCAGUAUAUGACCAUGGCUUCUGCAGGUUUCAUGAAAAGAAUAAUUGUAUAUUCCUCUUUCAUUUAAAUAAAUAAUUAAUAAUACAUUUCUGGGUAUUUUGUAACUUAAAUAAUCACUAUAAAUUCAAA
Corvus hawaiiensis (hawaiian crow) is the source of this 6571-nucleotide long non-coding RNA. RefSeq lists it as uncharacterized. The record is from RefSeq and is a predicted model, not a curated record. The transcript has 8 exons. Lineage: Eukaryota; Metazoa; Chordata; Aves; Passeriformes; Corvidae.